Molecule: small RNA, 278 nt
Filed under: Arabidopsis thaliana (thale cress)
Lineage: Eukaryota; Viridiplantae; Streptophyta; Magnoliopsida; Brassicales; Brassicaceae
Description: ATSL027600
Source: RNAcentral
GUUUAAAUAUUAUAAAUAUUUAAAAAUAUAUUAAUACAGGACGGUAGACUACGGGUGAAAUCGUAGAUAUAACAAUCAAAAUACAAUUAUAAAGUUUGGAUCGAUAUUAAAAGUGUUUUGAAGUUUCAAAUAUUACAAAUAUUUGAACUUUAUAAGAAAACAAGAAAAUGAUAUUUAAUUUUACGAGACGGGGUUAUAUGAGUGGACGGGUUUGAGUCAAUAUUAAUACGGAAUGGUAUAUACUAUGGGUGAAAUCUUAGAAUUAACAAUCGAAAUAC